RNAcentral lists this long non-coding RNA (988 nucleotides) under Homo sapiens (human). RNAcentral describes it as "HSALNT0005675". The record is from RNAcentral. Lineage: Eukaryota; Metazoa; Chordata; Mammalia; Primates; Hominidae.
CCUACUCAUUUUACAGAAGGAGAAAGUGAAGAGAAGAGAGGGAGAAGGGCCCUGACCGAGGCCACCAGCUUUCUUUGAUUCUGUGUUGAAAGGUGCGAGGUGCUGGAGCCGGGAAGAGGUGCGUUCUUGCUCUCGACAGGAAGUGUCAUUGGCUCUGCAGCAAGUGCCUCUAGGGACAAGGAACUCACUACCUCCUAGAGUGACACAUGCCCAUUCUUUGAACAAGUGUGACUGCCGGGAAAAAGGUGUACUGCGUACAGCUGUCAAGAAUGCAAAUGCCACUGAGUGUUGGGGGCAUGGCUCCGGAGCCAUCAACCUGGCCAGUCUUCACAGCCUACCCCAGUGGCAGACCCCCUGAAUCCACCCCAGGGCCCCAGUAAGCCCCCGUGAACCUGUGAACUUUGCAUUUCUAUGCUCAACACUCAGGGUGAGCAGUCCAGAAAAAACAACCCAUGCACAGCAGGUGCUGGGGGUAGUCAGGCUUCAAGAUGCCUCCAAAUGGUUCUCAUCUCUGAGUAUUCACACUGAAUGGAACUGACCUAUGUAACUAACAGGAUGUCGUGGGAAUGACAGGCAUGACUUCCAUGGCUAGGUCAUAAAGAGAUUGUGGCUUCUACCUUGCUCUCUCUUGGACCCCAGUUGCUGGAGGAAGCCAUCUGCCAUGUCAAACAGCCUAUGGAGAUGCCCAUGUGGGGAAGAAUGGAGGUCCCCUGCCAACAAUCAGCUUUGACAUGCCAAGCCUGUGAGGGAGCCAUCUGGAAAGGGAGUCUUCCAGCCCCAAUCAGGCCUUCAGAUGACUGCAGCCCUGGCCAGCUCCUUGACUGCAACCUCAUGACAGACCUUGAGCAAGAACUGCUCAGCUAAGCUGCUUCUGAAUUCUUAACCUACAGAAAUGUCUAAUGCUUUAAGAAGCAAAGUAUGGGGUAAUUUACCACAUGCAAUAGAUAACAAAACCAUGUGCAAUAAAUACUGGUUAAACAAGUGAAUG